This 462-nucleotide ribosomal RNA is filed under the name uncultured bacterium. Its description in RNAcentral is "partial 16S ribosomal RNA". It matches the Rfam family "Bacterial small subunit ribosomal RNA", at positions 28 to 507 of the family's 1533-position model. The record is from RNAcentral.
GACGAACGCUGGCGGCGUGCUUAAUACAUGCAAGUCGAACGGAAAGGCCCUUCGGGGUACUCGAGUGGCGAACGGGUGAGUAACACGUGGGUGAUCUGCCCUGCACUUUGGGAUAAGCCUGGGAAACUGGGUCUAAUACCGAAUAUGAUCAUCGGCUUCAUGGUCGGUGGUGGAAAGCUUUUGCGGUGUGGGAUGGGCCCGCGGCCUAUCAGCUUGUUGGUGGGGUAAUGGCCUACCAAGGCGACGACGGGUAGCCGGCCUGAGAGGGUGACCGGCCACACUGGGACUGAGAUACGGCCCAGACUCCUACGGGAGGCAGCAGUGGGGAAUAUUGCACAAUGGGCGCAAGCCUGAUGCAGCGACGCCGCGUGAGGGAUGACGGCCUUCGGGUUGUAAACCUCUUUCAGCACAGACGAAGCGCAAGUGACGGUAUGUGCAGAAGAAGGACCGGCCAACUACGUG